This 370-nucleotide ribosomal RNA is filed under the name uncultured organism. Its description in RNAcentral is "partial 16S ribosomal RNA". It matches the Rfam family "Bacterial small subunit ribosomal RNA", at positions 527 to 896 of the family's 1533-position model. The record is from RNAcentral.
GUAGGGUGCGAGCGUUAAUCGGAAUUACUGGGCGUAAAGCGUGCGCAGGCGGUUAUGUAAGACAGUUGUGAAAUCCCCGGGCUCAACCUGGGAAUUGCAUCUGUGACUGCAUAGCUAGAGUACGGUAGAGGGGGAUGGAAUUCCGCGUGUAGCAGUGAAAUGCGUAGAUAUGCGGAGGAACACCGAUGGCGAAGGCAAUCCCCUGGACCUGUACUGACGCUCAUGCACGAAAGCGUGGGGAGCAAACAGGAUUAGAUACCCUGGUAGUCCCACGCCCUAAACGAUGUCAACUGGUUGUUGGGUGCAUUAGUACUCAGUAACGAAGCUAACGCGUGAAGUUGACCGCCUGGGGAGUACGGCCGCAAGGUUG